RNAcentral lists this transfer RNA (73 nucleotides) under Pleurocapsa minor GSE-CHR-MK 17-07R. Its description in RNAcentral is "Pleurocapsa minor GSE-CHR-MK-17-07R (algae metagenome) tRNA-Arg". It matches the Rfam family "tRNA". Rfam says of the family: Transfer RNA (tRNA) molecules are approximately 80 nucleotides in length. Their secondary structure includes four short double-helical elements and three loops (D, anti-codon, and T loops). Lineage: Bacteria; Bacillati; Cyanobacteriota; Cyanophyceae; Pleurocapsales; Pleurocapsaceae. The record is from RNAcentral. RNAcentral also lists the same sequence under 1 other name.
GCCCCUGUAGUUCAACGGAUAGAAUAAAGACCUUCUAAGUCUGAGGUUACAGGUUCGAAUCCUGUCAGGGGCA